Molecule: ribosomal RNA, 467 nt
Filed under: uncultured bacterium
Lineage: Bacteria
Description: partial 16S ribosomal RNA
Rfam family: Bacterial small subunit ribosomal RNA
Source: RNAcentral
ACGAACGCUUGCGGCGUGCUUAACACAUGCAAGUCGAACGGAAAGGCCCUGCUUUUGUGGGGUGCUCGAGUGGCGAACGGGUGAGUAACACGUUAGUAACCUGCCCUUGACUUUGGGAUAACUUCAUGAAACUGGGGCUAAUACCGGAUAGGAGCUCCUGCUGCAUGGUGGGGGUUGGAAAGUUUCGGCGGUUGGGGAUGGACUCGCGGCUUAUCAGCUUGUUGGUGGGGUAGUGGCUUACCAAGGCUUUGACGGGUAGCCGGCCUGAGAGGGUGACCGGCCACAUUGGGACUGAGAUACGGCCCAGACUCCUACGGGAGGCAGCAGUGGGGAAUAUUGCACAAUGGGCGGAAGCCUGAUGCAGCAACGCCGCGUGCGGGAUGACGGCCUUCGGGUUGUAAACCGCUUUCGCCUGUGACGAAGCGUGAGUGACGGUAAUGGGUAAAGAAGCACCGGCUAACUACGUG